ACCUGCAUUCGAAAGGGAUCGCGGCCUGCCGGUGGCCGCGGUCACCGAUAGUGCAGGGAGAGGAGCGCGAGAGCCUUCCCGUGUCCGGGGGGGCGUCCCCUCCCUCCCUGACCCUGGUGCUGUCGGACA
RNAcentral lists this small nucleolar RNA (129 nucleotides) under Pterocles gutturalis (yellow-throated sandgrouse). Its description in RNAcentral is "Small nucleolar RNA SNORA71". It matches the Rfam family "Small nucleolar RNA SNORA71". From Rfam's summary of the family: The members of this family belong to the H/ACA class of snoRNAs which bind a number of proteins (including dyskerin, Gar1p and Nop10p) to form snoRNP complexes. This class of snoRNAs are thought to guide the sites of modification of uridines to pseudouridines by forming direct base pairing interactions with substrate RNAs. This family includes U71 (SNORA71), ACA39 (SNORA39) and ACA60 (SNORA60). The record is from Rfam by way of RNAcentral. Lineage: Eukaryota; Metazoa; Chordata; Aves; Pterocliformes; Pteroclidae.